This is a non-coding RNA of Salvia hispanica, 648 nucleotides long. Lineage: Eukaryota; Viridiplantae; Streptophyta; Magnoliopsida; Lamiales; Lamiaceae. The record is from RefSeq and is a predicted model, not a curated record.
CCAUCAAAUCCACAAAAUCGGCCAAUCCAAAUCAAUUUCACUCUAUUUCACCAAAGAUUCAUCCCCUCUCCACCAAAUCCACAAAAACCCUAUUGUAAAACGACGAUUCUGCAAUCCAAAUCAAUUUCAUUCUAUUUCACCAAAGAUUCAUCCCCUCUCCAUCUAAUCCACAAAAACCCUACUGUAAAACGACGAUUCUGCAAACUGACCAAAUCUGACCUAACGCCUACUUGAUGAUUCUAAAAUCGACGAGGUAAACCAAUCGCCUUCUUCAACAAUGGUCAACACACAAGCUUCUGGUACGGCAACGCAUGACGGAGAAGAAAGGUGCCGCCAAAACAAAAAGUGCAGAAAGAAAAAGGUCAAAGUUCCACACAAAAAACGACUGAACUGAGGAAUGAUAUCCAUGACACAAAACAAGGUUAAAGUCAUGUACCUCUGCUUUUGAAGAACUCAUGAAUUGAAGGGGAAGAAGGAAAAGGAACGGCUGCAGAUGUUGCCAUUUCUGGAAUAAAGAGGCGGCAUCCAAACAUUAUGCAAGGGAGAGCAAGAAAACAAAGAUUAACGUAGAAAAGAUGAUAGCAAACUACGGAUCUUAAUCAAUAGUUAUGUCAUACCAAAAACUACUGAAUCUUUUUGUUCAUUUCU